This 429-nucleotide ribosomal RNA is filed under the name Gemmatimonadota bacterium. Its description in RNAcentral is "Gemmatimonadetes bacterium partial 16S ribosomal RNA". It matches the Rfam family "Bacterial small subunit ribosomal RNA", at positions 355 to 776 of the family's 1533-position model. The record is from RNAcentral. Lineage: Bacteria; Pseudomonadati; Gemmatimonadota.
UAGGGAAUCUUCGGCAAUGGACGAAAGUCUGACCGAGCAACGCCGCGUGAGUGAAGAAGGUUUUCGGAUCGUAAAACUCUGUUGUUAGAGAAGAACAAGGACGUUAGUAACUGAACGUCCCCUGACGGUAUCUAACCAGAAAGCCACGGCUAACUACGUGCCAGCAGCCGCGGUAAUACGUAGGUGGCAAGCGUUGUCCGGAUUUAUUGGGCGUAAAGCGAGCGCAGGCGGUUUCUUAAGUCUGAUGUGAAAGCCCCCGGCUCAACCGGGGAGGGUCAUUGGAAACUGGGUGACUUGAGUGCAGAAGAGGAGAGUGGAAUUCCAUGUGUAGCGGUGAAAUGCGUAGAUAUAUAGAGGAACACCAGUAGCGAAGGCGGCUCUCUGGUCUGUAACUGACGCUGUGGCUCGAAAGCGUGGGGAGCAAACAGG